RNAcentral lists this ribosomal RNA (234 nucleotides) under uncultured bacterium. RNAcentral's name for it is "partial 16S ribosomal RNA". It matches the Rfam family "Bacterial small subunit ribosomal RNA", at positions 334 to 585 of the family's 1533-position model. The record is from RNAcentral.
UACCUCCACGGGGGGCAGCAGUGGGGAAUAUUGCACAAUGGGGGAAACCCUGAUGCAGCGACGCCGCGUGAGUGAAGAAGUAUUUCGGUAUGUAAAGCUCUAUCAGCAGGGAAGAAAAUGACGGUACCUGAUUAAGAAGCCCCGGCUAACUACGUGCCAGCAGCCGCGGUAAUACGUAGGGGGCAAGCGUUAUCCGGAUUUACUGGGUGUAAAGGGAGCGUAGACGGCAGCACA